RNAcentral lists this long non-coding RNA (257 nucleotides) under Mytilus galloprovincialis (Mediterranean mussel). The record is from RNAcentral. Lineage: Eukaryota; Metazoa; Mollusca; Bivalvia; Mytilida; Mytilidae.
AAAGGCUAUUUUUUGUAUUAUUUGUGUAAUAGACAUUACAAGAACUUUAACUGUGACACCUGCUAACCGUUAAAUAGUAAUAUUUUCUUAGCAUCUGAAUGAACUCUAUAGAACUGUCGCAAUUAAUUAGUGCUAUUUAUCUAUGGUCGUAAAGUCGCCACUGAAGAACACUUAAAGUUUCUGUUUAUUCUAAUGUGUUUAACAUUCAAAGAUAAAGACAGAGUUAAUGUAUUUUCUGGUCAGUUUUAAGGUUGUUG